GUGAGGUGAUGACGAAGUUUAUCCAUUCUCUGAGUGCAGCUGUGCUGCCCUCCUGCAGCACCCCGGUUCCUGUCCUAGGGUCUGGGUGCUGCGCGGCCUCCAGACACCCUCCAGUCUCCCAGUGUCCUACUGGGGCUGCUGUGGUGUGUGGCUGGCUGCCUGCAGGAGGGGAGUGGUGCUGGCAGGGCUGGAGCCCCCCUUCUGGGGGCGCUCUGUCCUCACCGAGAUGAGGGAUGAUGUCUGAUCAC
Molecule: small nucleolar RNA, 248 nt
Filed under: Apaloderma vittatum (bar-tailed trogon)
Lineage: Eukaryota; Metazoa; Chordata; Aves; Trogoniformes; Trogonidae
Description: Small nucleolar RNA SNORD17
Rfam family: Small nucleolar RNA SNORD17
About the family: The snoRNA HBI-43 belongs to the C/D family of snoRNAs, guiding 2'O-ribose methylation at position U3797 of the 28S rRNA. Pseudouridylation in position U3797 is predicted to be guided by the H/ACA snoRNA ACA48.
Source: Rfam by way of RNAcentral